GACGAACGCUGGCGGCGUGCAUAACACAUGCAAGUCAAGGGGGCCGAGCAAUGGCAACCGGCGAACGGGUGCGUAACACGUAAGCGACCUGCCUCGGUGUGGGGCGAUAGCCGGCCUAACGGCCGGGUAAUUCCGCAUACGAUCCUUGAGGGGCAUCUCUCGAGGAUGAAACGAGCAAUCGGCACUGAGAGGGGCUUGCGGCCUAUCAGCUAGUUGGCGAGGAACGGCUCACCAAGGCGACGACGGGUAGCUGGUCUGAGAGGAUGGCCAGCCACAUUGGGACUGAGAAACGGCCCAGACUCCUACGGGAGGCAGCAGUGGGGAAUCUUGCGCAAUGGCCUAACGGCUGACGCAGCGACGCCGCGUGAGGGAGU
RNAcentral lists this ribosomal RNA (374 nucleotides) under uncultured bacterium. RNAcentral's name for it is "bacterial SSU rRNA". It matches the Rfam family "Bacterial small subunit ribosomal RNA", at positions 28 to 410 of the family's 1533-position model. The record is from RNAcentral.